CCUACGGGAGGCAGCAGUGAGGACUAUUGGUCAAUGGGCGGAAGCCUGAACCAGCCAAGUAGCGUGCGGGAUGAAGGCCCUACGGGUCGUAAACCGCUUUUGCACGGGGAUAACACCCUCCACUUGUGGAGGUCUGCAGGUACCGUGCGAAUAAGGGCCGGCUAAUUCCGUGCCAGCAGCCGCGGUAAUAAGGAAGGCCCGAGCGUUAUCCGGAUUCAUUGGGCUUAAAGGGAGCGUAGGCGGGCGUUCAAGUCAGCUGUAAAAUCGCGCGGCUCAACCGCGCCCCGCAGUUGAAACUGGACGCAUUGAGUUCACAACAGGCAGGCGGAAUUCGUGGUGUAGCGGUGAAAUGCAUAGAUAUCACGAGGAACCCCGAUUGCGAGGGCAGCCUGCCGGGGUGCGACUGACGCUGAGGCUCGAAGGUGCGGGUAUCAAACAGGAUUAGAUACCCCAGUAGUC
RNAcentral lists this ribosomal RNA (459 nucleotides) under uncultured bacterium. Its description in RNAcentral is "partial 16S ribosomal RNA". It matches the Rfam family "Bacterial small subunit ribosomal RNA", at positions 338 to 795 of the family's 1533-position model. The record is from RNAcentral.